AACACUGGGUAGAUUAGUAGUAUUGAACUCAUAUCGUAUUUGGAUACGUAUUAUGUUAUUACUUGUGAAUAUGUUUAAUUGGAGAGAUUAUUGAGAGAUGAUCAUGGUAUGGGACAUGGAUCAUUUUAUGAAAUGCAUGAGUAUUCAUUAUUUUCCGCUGCAAACGCAUAUGCUUGAAUAUUCAUGAUAAGUGAAAUGUGUUAUUUGAAA
RNAcentral lists this long non-coding RNA (210 nucleotides) under Lathyrus oleraceus (garden pea). RNAcentral describes it as "Pisum sativum (pea) long non-coding RNA (PSAT_LNC026133)". The record is from RNAcentral. Lineage: Eukaryota; Viridiplantae; Streptophyta; Magnoliopsida; Fabales; Fabaceae.